Molecule: ribosomal RNA, 460 nt
Filed under: uncultured Treponema sp.
Lineage: Bacteria; Pseudomonadati; Spirochaetota; Spirochaetia; Treponematales; Treponemataceae
Description: bacterial SSU rRNA
Rfam family: Bacterial small subunit ribosomal RNA
Source: RNAcentral
ACGGGAGGCAGCAGCUAAGAAUAUUCCGCAAUGGACGAAAGUCUGACGGAGCGACGCCGCGUGGAUGAUGAAGGUCGGAAGAUUGUAAAAUCCUUUUAUAACUGAGGAAUAAGCAGUGUGAGAGAAACGCAUUGCGGUGACUGUAGGUUAUGAAUAAGCAACGGCUAAUUACGUGCCAGCAGCCGCGGUAACACGUAAGUUGCGAGCGUUAUUCGGAAUUAUUGGGCGUAAAGGGCAUGUAGGCGGUUUUGCAAGCUUGGUGUGAAAUCCCGGGGCUUAACCCCGGAACUGCAUUGAGAACUGCAUGACUAGAGUCAAUGAGGGGAAACCGGAAUUCCAGGUGUAGGGGUGAAAUCUGUAGAUAUCUGGAAGAACACCAAUGGCGAAGGCAGGUUUCUAGCAUAUGACUGACGCUGAGGUGCGAAGGUGCGGGGAUCAAACAGGAUUAGAUACCCUGGUA